UGUAUUUAUUAGAUUAAAAACCAAUGCCCUUCGGGGCUCCUUGGUGAUUCAUAAUAACUUAACGAAUCGCAUGGCCUUGUGCCGGCGAUGGUUCAUUCAAAUUUCUGCCCUAUCAACUUUCGAUGGUAGUAUAUGGGACUACCAUGGUUUCAACGGGUAACGGGGAAUUAGGGUUCUAUUCCGGAGAGGGAGCCUGAGAAACGGCUACCACAUCCAAGGAAGGCAGCAGGCGCGCAAAUUACCCAAUCCCGACACGGGGAGGUAGUGACAAUAAAUACUGAUACAGGGCUCUUUUGGGUCUUGUAAUUGGAAUGAGUACAAUUUAAAUCCCUUAACGAGGAACAAUUGGAGGGCAAGUCUGGUGCCAGCAGCCGCGGUAAUACCAGCUCCAAUAGCGUAUAUUAAAGUUGUUGCAGUUAAAAAGCUCGUAGUUGAACCUUGGGCCUGGCUGGCCGGUCCGCCUCACCGCGUGCACUGGUCCGGCCGGGUCUUUCCUCCUGGGGAGCCGCAUGCCCUUCACUNGGUGUGUCGGGGAACCAGG
This 541-nucleotide ribosomal RNA is filed under the name uncultured eukaryote. RNAcentral describes it as "SSU rRNA". It matches the Rfam family "Eukaryotic small subunit ribosomal RNA", at positions 202 to 746 of the family's 1831-position model. The record is from RNAcentral.